This is a small nuclear RNA of Salvia splendens (bonfire salvia), 196 nucleotides long. RefSeq annotates it as U2 spliceosomal RNA. The transcript has a single exon. NCBI's taxonomy places the organism in Eukaryota, Viridiplantae, Streptophyta, Magnoliopsida, Lamiales, Lamiaceae. The record is from RefSeq and is a predicted model, not a curated record.
AUACCUUUCUCGGCCUUUUGGCUAAGAUCAAGUGUAGUAUCUGUUCUUAUCAGUUUAAUAUCUGAUAUGUGAGUCAUUGAUUCACACGAUAUUAAAUUUAUUUUUUGAGGGGGAGAGCCCUUCAUGGUAGCUUGCUGCCUGGGCUUUUGAGUGUCGCCUUGGCGUUGCACUACUGCCAUGGCUUGGCACACCCCAC